RNAcentral lists this transfer RNA (46 nucleotides) under Cyrtodactylus ayeyarwadyensis. Its description in RNAcentral is "partial tRNA-Met". The record is from RNAcentral. Lineage: Eukaryota; Metazoa; Chordata; Lepidosauria; Squamata; Gekkonidae.
CGGGCCCAUACCCCGACAAUGUUGGUAUAUACCCCUUCCUUUACUA